AACGAACGCUGGCGGCAUGCCUAACACAUGCCAGUCGAACGAGACCUUCGGGUCUAGUGGCGCACGGGUGCGUAACGCGUGGGAACCUGCCCUUAGGUUCGGAAUAACUCCCCGAAAGGGGUGCUAAUACCGGAUAAUGUCUUCGGACCAAAGAUUUAUCGCCUUUGGAUGGGCCCGCGUUGGAUUAGCUAGUUGGUAGGGUAAAAGCCUACCAAGGCGACGAUCCAUAGCUGGUCUGAGAGGAUGAUCAGCCACACUGGGGCUGAGACACGGCCCAGACUCCUACGGGAGGCAGCAGUGGGGAAUAUUGGACAAGGGGCGAAAGCCUGAUCCAGCAAUGCCGCGUGAGUGAUGAAGGCCUUAGGGUUGUAAAGCUCUUUUACCCGGGAUGAUAAUGACAGUACCGGGAGAAUAAGCUCCGGCUAACUCCGUG
RNAcentral lists this ribosomal RNA (433 nucleotides) under uncultured bacterium. Its description in RNAcentral is "partial 16S ribosomal RNA". It matches the Rfam family "Bacterial small subunit ribosomal RNA", at positions 29 to 507 of the family's 1533-position model. The record is from RNAcentral.